GACGAACGCUGGCGGCGUGCUUAACACAUGCAAGUCGAACGGAAAGGCCCUGCUUUUGUGGGGUGCUCGAGUGGCGAACGGGUGAGUAACACGUGAGUAACCUGCCCUUGACUUUGGGAUAACUUCAGGAAACUGGGGCUAAUACCGGAUAGGAGCUCCUGCUGCAUGGUGGGGGUUGGAAAGUUUCGGCGGUUGGGGAUGGACUCGCGGCUUAUCAGCUUGUUGGUGGGGUAGUGGCUUACCAAGGCUUUGACGGGUAGCCGGCCGGAGAGGGUGACCGGCCACAUUGGGACUGAGAUACGGCCCAGACUCCUACGGGAGGCAGCAGUGGGGAAUAUUGCACAAUGGGCGGAAGCCUGAUGCAGCAACGCCGCGUGCGGGAUGACGGCCUUCGGGUUGUAAACCGCUUUCGCCUGUGACGAAGCGUGAGUGACGGUAAUGGGUAAAGAAGCACCGGCUAACUACGUGCCAGCAGCCGCGGUGAUACGUAGGGUGCGAGCGUUGUCCGGAUUUAUUGGGCGUAAAGGGCUCGUAGGUGGUUGAUCGCGUCGGAAGUGUAAUCUUGGGGCUUAACCCUGAGCGUGCUUUCGAUACGGGUUGACUUGAGGAAGGUAGGGGAGAAUGGAAUUCCUGGUGGAGCGGUGGAAUGCGCAGAUAUCAGGAGGAACACCAGUGGCGAAGGCGGUUCUCUGGGCCUUUCCUGACGCUGAGGAGCGAAAGCGUGGGGAGCGAACAGGCUUAGAUACCCUGGUAGUCCGCGCUGUAAACGGUGGGUACUAGGUGUGGGGUCCAUUCCACGGGUUCCGUGCCGUAGCUAACGCUUUAAGUACCCCGCCUGGGGAGUACGGCCGCAAGGCUAAAACUCAAAGGAAUUGACGGGGCCCCGCACAAGCGGCGGAGCAUGCGGAUUAAUUCGAUGCAACGCGUAGAACCUUACCUGGGUUUGACAUGGAUCGGGAGUGCUCAGAGAUGGGUGUGCCUCUUUUGGGGUCGGUUCACAGGUGGUGCAUGCCUGUCGUCAGCUCGUGUCGUGAGAUGUUGGGUUAAGUCCCGCAACGAGCGCAACCCUUGUUCACUGUUGCCAGCACGUUAUGGUGGGGACUCAGUGGAGACCGCCGGGGUCAACUCGGAGGAAGGUGGGGAUGACGUCAAGUCCUCAUGCCCCUUAUGUCCAGGGCUUCACGCAUGCUACAAUGGCUGGUACAGAGAGUGGCGAGCCUGUGAGGGUGAGCGAAUCUCGGAAAGCCGGUCUCAGUUCGGAUUGGGGUCUGCAACUCGACCUCAUGAAGUCGGAGUCGCUAGUAAUCGCAGAUCAGCAACGCUGCGGUGAAUACGUUCCCGGG
This 1343-nucleotide ribosomal RNA is filed under the name uncultured bacterium. Its description in RNAcentral is "16S ribosomal RNA". It matches the Rfam family "Bacterial small subunit ribosomal RNA", at positions 28 to 1378 of the family's 1533-position model. The record is from RNAcentral.